GUUAACCACCGCCGGAAGCAUUUACGUAUUUUAUUUGUGUCAAUAUGAAGUUUUCAUCGUAGAAGCAAUUUUCAAAAAAAGAAAAGAAAGUUAGAGAGAGAGGGAGAGAAAACGAAAAAGAGAGAGAGAGAUGGAAUACGGUGGAGUGAGGAAAAAGAAAAGAUCAAUUAGGAGGAUAUCACAAUUAAGAAAGAAGAAAGUAAAGAAAUAGAAAGAAAAGAGGAGUACGGGAAAAUCAUCACCAUUAAUCAUCAUCAUUAUCCUCACUACUUCAAAUUCAGAAAAUCAUCAAACUAGAGGGGUCUGUUCUAUUUUUGGUGUUGUUUCUUGUGUUGAAAGCGUGAUCAAUUGCGCCCUUAGGCCUGAAGAUCCAAUUGAGCUUUCUACACAAUACGUAGUAAACCGUUUUGCACGUCAACGGUUGGAGGGAAUGUGUAAAAUGAGUGAAGGUAAUAUACACAUUGAGUGCAUUGAGGAUGUGGUUGGUGGCUUUACUUGCGAGGAAGUACUUCGUACUAUAAGAGAUAGUGGCAUUCCGACUGAAAAGGCCUUCAAAUAUACUGGACUACCUGUGGUUUCUUAUGCAAAUGAGUGGAAGACAAGGUGUACUGGGGACCUCCAGUCCCAUUCCACCUUACAAAUCACACUGUGCUUCUAGUAGGAUGUGGAGUGCAUAACAAAACUCGGUACUGGAUUGUGAGAAACACCUGGGGCACUAAUUUUGGUGAUGGUGGUCAUAUAAAGAUAGUGCGUGGUCAAAACUGUUUUGGAAUAGAAUCUGAGAUAUGGGUUCCGAUCAUUGAUCUGGACACACUCUGUUUCUGAAGCAUGUAUAUGCUUGUAACACCAAUUUGGUGGUCUACUAAUCUCUUUCCACUAUUAGACUAGUGUAAUGCUUUUUGUUUGGCAUGGGAUAUACUAAUACCAAGCUCUUGCCACUAUUUUACUUACGUGUACCUAUUACAAAAAUGUUAUUAGACUAAUGUAAUGCCUUUUGUUUGGCAUGUGAUAUACUGAUACCAAGUUAUUCAAUUUAAAAAAUUAAACUGGAAUUUGUUAGUAUAACUUAGAUGUAAGCAUAUAUGUUUUGUUUUAUUUUAUUUUUUUGGGUAGAAUGUCUUGUAAGCAACUUGAAUGAAUAAACAUGUGAUUCCAAUA
Molecule: long non-coding RNA, 1158 nt
Organism: Medicago truncatula (barrel medic)
Lineage: Eukaryota; Viridiplantae; Streptophyta; Magnoliopsida; Fabales; Fabaceae
Exons: 3
Source: RefSeq, a predicted model, not a curated record